UGGGGAAUCUUGCACAAUGGGCGCAAGCCUGAUGCAGCAACGCCGCGUGCGGGAAGACGGCCCUAGGGUUGUAAACCGCUUUCAGGAGGGAAGAAAUGACGGUACCUCCAGAAGAAGGUGCGGCCAACUACGUGCCAGCAGCCGCGUGACACGUAGGCACCAAGCGUUAUCCGGAUUUAUUGGGCGUAAAGAGCUCGUAGGCGGUUCGGUAAGUCGGGUGUGAAAUCCAAGGCUCAACCUUGGGACGCACCCGAUACUGCUGUGACUCGAGUGCAGUAGGGGAGCAGGGAAUUCCUGGUGUAGCGGUGAAAUGCGCAGAUAUCAGGAGGAACACCAGUGGCGAAGGCGCUGCUCUGGGCUGUAACUGACGCUGAGGAGCGAAAGCAUGGGUAGCAAAACAGGAUUAGAUACCCUGGUAGUCCAUGCCGUAAACGUUGGGCACUAGGUGUGGGUCUCAACCAACGAGAUCCGCGCCGUCGCUAACGCAUUAAGUGCCCCGCCUGGGGAGUACGGUCGCAAGACUAAAACUCAAAGGAAUUGA
This 541-nucleotide ribosomal RNA is filed under the name uncultured bacterium. RNAcentral's name for it is "bacterial SSU rRNA". It matches the Rfam family "Bacterial small subunit ribosomal RNA", at positions 355 to 913 of the family's 1533-position model. The record is from RNAcentral.